RNAcentral lists this ribosomal RNA (464 nucleotides) under Vreelandella stevensii. RNAcentral's name for it is "partial 16S ribosomal RNA". It matches the Rfam family "Bacterial small subunit ribosomal RNA", at positions 338 to 795 of the family's 1533-position model. Lineage: Bacteria; Pseudomonadati; Pseudomonadota; Gammaproteobacteria; Oceanospirillales; Halomonadaceae. The record is from RNAcentral.
CCUACGGGUGGCUGCAGUGGGGAAUAUUGGACAAUGGGCGAAAGCCUGAUCCAGCCAUGCCGCGUGUGUGAAGAAGGCCUUCGGGUUGUAAAGCACUUUCAGUGGGGAAGAAAGCCUUGGGGCUAAUACCCUCGAGGAAGGACAUCACCCACAGAAGAAGCACCGGCUAACUCCGUGCCAGCAGCCGCGGUAAUACGGAGGGUGCGAGCGUUAAUCGGAAUUACUGGGCGUAAAGCGCGCGUAGGCGGUCUGAUAAGCCGGUUGUGAAAGCCCCGGGCUCAACCUGGGAACGGCAUCCGGAACUGUCAGGCUAGAGUGCAGGAGAGGAAGGUAGAAUUCCCGGUGUAGCGGUGAAAUGCGUAGAGAUCGGGAGGAAUACCAGUGGCGAAGGCGGCCUUCUGGACUGACACUGACGCUGAGGUGCGAAAGCGUGGGUAGCAAACAGGAUUAGAUCCCCGGUAGUC